Molecule: ribosomal RNA, 165 nt
Filed under: uncultured bacterium
Lineage: Bacteria
Description: partial 16S ribosomal RNA
Rfam family: Bacterial small subunit ribosomal RNA
Source: RNAcentral
UAGGGAAUCUUCCACAAUGGAACGAAAGUCUGAUGGAGCAACGCCGCGUGAGUGAAGAAGGGUUUCGGCUCGUAAAGCUCUGUUGGUAGUGAAGAAAGAUAGAGGUAGUAACUGGUCCUUUUAUUUGACGGUAAUUACUUAGAAAGUCACGGCUAACUACGUGCC